AACGCGAAGAACCUUACCAAGGCUUGACAUAUGGCGAAAACUGGCAGAGAUGUCAGGUCCGCAAGGGCGCCAUACAGGUGGUGCAUGGUUGUCGUCAGCUCGUGUCGUGAGAUGUUGGGUUAAGUCCCGCAACGAGCGCAACCCUUGUUCUAUGUUGCCAGCGAGUAAUGUCGGGGACUCAUAGGAGACUGCCGGGGUCAACUCGGAGGAAGGUGGGGAUGACGUCAAAUCAUCAUGCCCCUUAUGUCUUGGGCUGCACACAUGCUACAAUGGCCGGUACAAAGGGCUGCGAAACCGUAAGGUAGAGCGAAUCCCAAAAAGCCGGUCUCAGUUCGGAUUGGGGUCUGCAACUCGACCCCAUGAAGUCGGAGUCGCUAGUAAUCGCAGAUCAGCAACGCUGCGGUGAAUACGUUCCCGGGCCUUGUACACACCGCUAGUC
RNAcentral lists this ribosomal RNA (439 nucleotides) under uncultured bacterium. Its description in RNAcentral is "bacterial SSU rRNA". It matches the Rfam family "Bacterial small subunit ribosomal RNA", at positions 958 to 1398 of the family's 1533-position model. The record is from RNAcentral.